This 3057-nucleotide long non-coding RNA is filed under the name Sus scrofa (pig). RNAcentral's name for it is "lncRNA (ENSSSCG00035070820.1)". Lineage: Eukaryota; Metazoa; Chordata; Mammalia; Artiodactyla; Suidae. The record is from RNAcentral.
UUUUUUUAUUUUUUAUUUAUUUUUGGCUGUGCCCAUGGCACAUGGAAGUUUCUGGGCCAUGGAUUGAACUCGUGCCACAGCAGUAACCCAAGCUGCUACAGUGACACUGCCAGAUCCUUAACCAGCUGCACCACAGGAAACCUUCAUCCUCCCCUCUUCUUAUAAAGACAAUAGUCAUUGGAUUAAGACUUGCUUGAAUCCAGGAAAACCUCCCCUUAAUUACAACUGCAGAGACAUGGCUUCCAAAUAAGCUCACAUCCUGAGGCUCCAGGAAGAUGUGAAUUUGGGGGACACUACUCAGCCCAGGACACUGAAUAGGUAAGCACCUCCCUAGGAGAGCCAGUCACGGCUUGAAGAGCCGGACAGGCUGCCUUGUCAUUUCUCUCUCCUCCCUCCACCAUUCAAUCCCCUUUUCCCCUCAACUGUGCCCCAUGGAGGAGUGGGCAGUAGUUCUUGAGGUAUCUUUUUGGGCCAGGCUGUCUGCCUUAACCAUCUUUCAUGGGAAGUGUGCUGGCCGGUUGUGCACACAAGCAGAGGCCUAGGAACACAGGGCCCCUGAAUGCACUCCUGACUGACCCAGUCGCAUGGCUGGCACACGCUCAGCCCCUGCUCAUUCUCAGACACAAAAGCUGACUACAUUUUCAGCUUCUGAUCUUUCACUUUACACUGGGUGCAAACUUACCUUGAUUCCCUGAGAUGAUGUCUUCAUGGGCUGGUCCUUUCCUAACAGCCACUGGGACAUGGCCCAGCAUUACUCAUUGUCACUCACUGUCCUGAAAGUCCUCACUCAGCCUAAGACCAGGAUGUGUACUUCUGCUCGAGGCUCUCGUCUUCCUAUCUACUCAUCCAGGACUUGAAAACUCUUAUAAACAAGUGAAUGGAGCUGUCCUGAUGAUCCACACGGUAUCUGACAACCUCGAAGCAGGCAUAUUGGAUGAUGCUCUUCUUUUAUUUACUUAUGUGUCAUUUUUUAAGGCCACACCCACCGCAUAUGGAGGUUCCCAGGCUAGGGAUUGAAUCAAAGCUGUAGCUGCUGGCCUAUGCCACAGCCACAGCCACAGCAGAUCCGAGCCCCGUUUGUGACCUACACCACAGCUCUCAGCAACUCCAGAUCCUUAACUCACUGGCAAGGCCAGGGACGGAACCUAUGUCCUCAUGGGUAUUAGUCAGAUUUGUUUCCACUGAGCCAUGACGGGAACUCCAAUGUUCUUCUUUUAAAAUGGUCCAGCCAGGUCAGAGUUGAAAGCUCUCAUGGGGGUGGUGAUAGUAUAUCUUUGGAGGAUUUAAUAAAAUUUUACCUUUAGAAUAAUUUUAGAUUUACAGACAGUUUUCAAAGACAAUAUAGAGUGUUCCUAUGUACUCCAAACCCAGUUUUCCCUCUGAUGAAUAUCUCACAUUGACAUGGCAUAUUUGUCACAAUUAAUGAAUCAAUACUGAUUUGUCACUACUAAGGUCUAUACUUUAUUCAUUUUUUUCUUAAUUUUGACUUAAUGUCCUUUUUCUGUCCCAGGAUCCCAUCCUGAGCACCUUGUUACAUUUAGUCAUCAUGUCUCCUUCCACUUCUCUGGAUUAAUUCUCCCGGCUGUGACAGUGAGGACACAUCUUUUAUAACAGCUCUGCUGUCUCAGAGUCAACAGCCAUGCAAAUCCACCGACUUAGAUGUCCAGGACCCAUGAGCAUGGGGAGGAAGUUCACAGGCGCAGACAUGGGUCACUUAGAGUAAUGCAUGGGGCCUGAACCAAUCUGCACUGUUCAUAAAUGUCUACAAAACAAGUGAAACAGGAGUCCUCAUCGUGGCGCAGUGGUUAAUGAAUCCGACUAGGAACCAUGAGGUUGUGGGUUCGAUCCCCGCCCUUGCUCAGUGGGCCAGGGAUUGAACCUGCAACCUCAUGGUUCCUAGUUGAAUUCAUUUCCAAUGUACCAAAACGGGAACUCUGACAAAUACCUUAGGAUAUCACAUAUAUGUGGAAUCUAAUAGGCACAAAUGAACCUAUCUACAGAACAGAAACAGACUCACAUAGAGAACAGACGUGUGGUUGCCAAGAGGGUGGGAGAAGGAGUGGGAUGGACGGAGAGUUUGUGGUCAGUCGAGGCAAACUAUCACAUUUAGAAAGGAUAGGCAAUGAGGUUCUGCUGUAUAGCACAGGGAGCUGUGUCCAGUCUCUUGGAUACAUGAUGGGGGAUGAUAUGAGAAGAAGAAUCUGUGCAUGUAUGAAUGACUGGGUCACCCUGAUGUACAUGAGAUAUUGGCACAGCACUGUACAUCAACGAUAACAAUUUUUUAAUGUAAAAAAAAUGUUAAUGAAUAAAGCCACACAGCUGUGAUGGAAAUAAUCAGAGUACAUGUUAUGAGGAACUGCUCUCUCGGUGGAAGAGGAGGGAGAGUGAGCAGCCUGAGGGUUCCGAGCAAGGCCAGCCAGCGGGCAGAGACAGACACUGCUCGUUCCCAUCUCCCAUGGGGAGCAAGGGCACAGGCAGCUUCUAGUGUUCGAGCCCAAGAUUCCUCAUCCUCCAGAUGGGUAGACUGUGUGGUGGGCCACAGGGAUGUAGCCAGCUCACAGAGCCCCUCGCCUGUGCCCUCAGGGCCAGGGAACCAUAAAGACAUUUGUUCCCCAGAACCAGAGGCACCUGUCAUGUGCAGACACCUUCAGGAAGCAGGGGCGGGGAUUCUAUUCCAUCCUCUUCCCAUCAGCACAUUCUCCACUGAAUCUCCAUAGGGAGCAGAACAGUCAUCUGGCUCCUUAUGUGGAGCAGGGGCCAGGUCAGGCUCAUGCAGUGAACAUCCUGCUGAUUCUAGUAGGGGAGGGGAGAGGAAGGAGAGCUAAUACAUGGCAAAGAAAGAGGUAACCACUCUGAGCCCUGGAGAAGGAACUGGGGCAAAGGAGGGAAAAAAACAGAAAGUAAUAGGUACUAAUAGGAAGCACUUUUUUCAUCUUUUUUUUUUUUAUAUAGGUCCACACCCACAGCAUCUGGAAGUUCCCAGAUUAGGGGUCAAAAUAGACCUACACCUGCCCGCCUAUGCCACAUCGACAGCAAUGCAGGAUCCAAGCCGUGUCU